RNAcentral lists this ribosomal RNA (433 nucleotides) under uncultured bacterium. RNAcentral describes it as "partial 16S ribosomal RNA". It matches the Rfam family "Bacterial small subunit ribosomal RNA", at positions 29 to 507 of the family's 1533-position model. The record is from RNAcentral.
AACGAACGCUGGCGGCAUGCCUAACAUAUGCAAGUCGAACGAGACCUUCGGGUCUAGUGGCGCACGGGUGCGUAACGCGUGGGAACCUGCCCUUAGGUUCGGAAUAACUCCCCGAAAGGGGUGCUAAUACCGGAUAAUGUCUUCGGACCAAAGAUUUAUCGCCUUUGGAUGGGCCCGCGUUGGAUUAGCUAGUUGGUAGGGUAAAAGCCUACCGAGGCGACGAUCCAUAGCUGGUCUGAGAGGAUGAUCAGCCACACUGGGACUGAGACACGGCCCAGACUCCUACGGGAGGCAGCAGUGGGGAAUAUUGGACAAUGGGCGAAAGCCUGAUCCAGCAAUGCCGCGUGAGUGAUGAAGGCCUUAGGGUUGUAAAGCUCUUUUACCCGGGAUGAUAAUGACAGUACCGGGAGAAUAAGCUCCGGCUAACUCCGUG